This 458-nucleotide ribosomal RNA is filed under the name uncultured bacterium. RNAcentral describes it as "partial 16S ribosomal RNA". It matches the Rfam family "Bacterial small subunit ribosomal RNA", at positions 339 to 795 of the family's 1533-position model. The record is from RNAcentral.
CUACGGGUGGCAGCAGUGAGGAAUAUUGGUCAAUGGGCGCGAGCCUGAACCAGCCAUCCCGCGUGCAGGAUGACGGCCCUAUGGGUUGUAAACUGCUUUUCUAUGCCAAGAAACCUGAUUACGUGUAAUCAGUUGCCGGUAGCAUAGGAAUAAGCAUCGGCUAACUCGUGCCAGCAGCCGCGGUAAUACGGAGGAUGCAAGCGUUAUCCGGAUUCAUUGGGUUUAAAGGGUGCGCAGGUGGGCUUGUAAGUCAGUGGUGAAAUGCUGCCGCUUAACGGUAGAACUGCCAUUGAUACUGCGAGUCUUGAGUAUGGUUGAGGUAGGCGGAAUGUGUUGUGUAGCGGUGAAAUGCAUAGAUAUGACACAGAACGCCAAUUGCGAAGGCAGCUUACUAAGCCAUUACUGACGCUGAGGCACGAAAGCGUGGGGAGCGAACAGGAUUAGAUACCCGUGUAGUC